CUUCAGGGCCCAGCGCUCCACCCGGCAGUGCAGCCUGUGCAGCAUGGACGGCCUCCAGCUCCGCACAGAACGCACCUGGGGAGGAGGAAUGGCCACCAGCAGAUCUAGGCCUUGCCGUAGAGAAAAUGAUUCGGGAGAUCAGGAGGUCCCUGUCUGAAAGAUCUCCCUCUGCUCAGGACAAUGUUGGUGUUGCCCCUGAUUCUUCAGGAGGGGAGCCUGUGAACAGAGCUGCAGCAGAGGAAGCUUCAUCUGGCACCGAGAGCUGCAGGAACAGUUCCCAGGAGCCCGAGGAGCCUGAUGCCAUCUGACCAACAUCUCCAGGAGGGCUGCCCUGCAUGGCAGGAAGAGACAGGGGAGAGCCUGUGACCAUCAGGCAGG
Long non-coding RNA from Zonotrichia leucophrys gambelii, 378 nucleotides. RefSeq lists it as uncharacterized. NCBI's taxonomy places the organism in Eukaryota, Metazoa, Chordata, Aves, Passeriformes, Passerellidae. The transcript has 3 exons. The record is from RefSeq and is a predicted model, not a curated record.